Non-coding RNA from Camelina sativa (false flax), 1051 nucleotides. The record is from RefSeq and is a predicted model, not a curated record. Lineage: Eukaryota; Viridiplantae; Streptophyta; Magnoliopsida; Brassicales; Brassicaceae.
CGUCUUCUUCUUUUCAUUUUUUUUUCUUUUUACAAUUCUUGAAACUUUCCCAUCUUCUCACACCUCUUUUCUAAUUUUUCAUGCAUCUUCCUAGUGAUUUUCGAUGGAAAUUACUCAACGACCUUGUACCACACAUCCGCCAUGUAUGGUUAUCCUUCUCGAGAUUUAUAAUCGGAAUUGUAUGCUGCUGAAAUCGUGAAUUUGUAGCCACUUUGUUGAUUCAUAAGUAGUGGUGUUCUCAAAAGAAUUUAUCGGCGGAUAUUAUAGUGGAUGAAGCUUCGAAAUUUCCGAUUGAUUCUCGAAUAGCUAAGCUAUUCUUAUAGUCAUCGCGUUGCCGUAAGUUCUUUGUCUUCUUCUUCUCUUUUUAAUAUGUCUUUCUUGGACAGACAAUUAUUGUAUGAGUUAACCUAUUGAUUAUGUACUCAAUUUUGUUAAAAAUUCAACAACUUAAUUGGUUUGCCAACCAAAAAAUCUUACAGGAUUGUUAAUAGAAGAAAAUACAGGCAAGGUUUGGGUUGUUUAGUGAAUUUAGAUUUGACAAUUUCAUAUAUAUAUAUAUACAAUUGUUUUGCUUCGUAGGUGCCACUAUAUGAACCGAAAAAAAAAGGAAGAAGCUAAGACAUUAGCAAUCAAUCUCGACAAAGUCGGGUCGAGCUUGGAAUAGUCGGGUCGAGCUUGGUCAACUUACAAUUUUCACGUAAACUGUUCAUUAGAACAGACCGGUUUCUUUGAAAGAUGACUUAGCUGCUUCUGGACAUCAAUGAGUGAUUUUGGCUUCACGUCUCGCAGGAACGCUAAUAUGGCCUUCUUCGUGUCAGGCCCAAAAGAGAUGGAACCGGGUUUGUUGAAAAAACACGCGGAUCGUGCGUUCAAUGGAUCAGAUUUUUUUUUUUUUGAAUUUUUCGGACAAAUUUACCCUGCUCAAUUUCACGAUUCAGUCUCCUUUAUUAUGUAUUCAGUGGCAAUUUCUGUAAAUAAUAGGAUGAUUACAGUCAUUUUAAAAAACGUACUCCUCUUUUAAUUAUAAAGAAGAUUUCCUAAAUUUUAUUUA